GAUGAACGCUGGCUACAGGCUUAACACAUGCAAGUCGAGGGGAAACGACGGGGAAGCUUGCUUCCCCGGGCGUCGACCGGCGCACGGGUGAGUAACGCGUAUCCAACCUGCCUCUGACUGAGGGAUAACCCGUCGAAAGUCGGCCCAAUACCUCAUGGUAUCGUCUGCGGGCAUCCAACGACGAUUAAAGAUUUCAUCGGUCAGGUAUGGGGAUGCGUCUGAUUAGCUUGUUGGCGGGGUAACGGCCCACCAAGGCUACGAUCAGUAGGGGUUCUGAGAGGAAGGUCCCCCACAUUGGAACUGAGACACGGUCCAAACUCCUACGGGAGGCAGCAGUGAGGAAUAUUGGUCAAUGGGCGAGAGCCUGAACCAGCCAAGUAGCGUGCAGGAAGACGGCCCUAUGGGUUGUAAACUGCUUUUAUGCGGGGAUAAAGUGAGGGACGUGUCCCGCAUUGCAGGUACCGCAUGAAUAAGGACCGGCUAAUUCCGUG
This 491-nucleotide ribosomal RNA is filed under the name uncultured bacterium. RNAcentral's name for it is "partial 16S ribosomal RNA". It matches the Rfam family "Bacterial small subunit ribosomal RNA", at positions 28 to 507 of the family's 1533-position model. The record is from RNAcentral.